GAUGAACGCUGGCGGCGUGCCUAAUACAUGCAAGUCGAGCGAACAGACGAGGAGCUUGCUCCUCUGACGUUAGCGGCGGACGGGUGAGUAACACGUGGAUAACCUACCUAUAAGACUGGGAUAACUUCGGGAAACCGGAGCUAAUACCGGAUAACAUGCUGAACCGCAUGGUUCAACAGUGAAAGACGGUCUUGCUGUCACUUAUAGAUGGAUCCGCGCCGCAUUAGCUAGUUGGUCAGGUAACGGCUUACCAAGGCAACGAUGCGUAGCCGACCUGAGAGGGUGAUCGGCCACACUGGAACUGAGACACGGUCCAGACUCCUACGGGAGGCAGCAGUAGGGAAUCUUCCGCAAUGGGCGAAAGCCUGACGGAGCAACGCCGCGUGAGUGAAGAAGGUCUUCGGAUCGUAAAACUCUGUUAUUAGGGAAGAACAAAUGUGUAAGUAACUAUGCACGUCUUGACGGUACCUAAUCAGAAAGCCACGGCUAACUACGUG
This 497-nucleotide ribosomal RNA is filed under the name uncultured bacterium. RNAcentral describes it as "partial 16S ribosomal RNA". It matches the Rfam family "Bacterial small subunit ribosomal RNA", at positions 28 to 507 of the family's 1533-position model. The record is from RNAcentral.